UGGGGAAUAUUGCACAAUGGGCGCAAGCCUGAUGCAGCCAUGCCGCGUGUAUGAAGAAGGCCUUCGGGUUGUAAAGUACUUUCAGCGAGGAGGAAGGCGUUGUGGUUAAUAACCGCAGCGACUGACGUUACUCGCAGAAGAAGCACCGGCUAACUCCGUGCCAGCAGCCGCGGUAAUACGGAGGGGGCAAGCGUUAAUCGGAAUUACUGGGCGUAAAGCGCACGCAGGCGGCCUGUCAAGUCGGAUGUGAAAUCCCCGGGCUCAACCUGGGAACUGCAUCCGAAACUGGCAGGCUAGAGUCUUGUAGAGGGGGGUAGAAUUCCAGGUGUAGCGGUGAAAUGCGUAGAGAUCUGGAGGAAUACCGGUGGCGAAGGCGGCCCCCUGGACAAAGACUGACGCUCAGGUGCGAAAGCGUGGGGAGCAAACA
RNAcentral lists this ribosomal RNA (427 nucleotides) under uncultured bacterium. RNAcentral's name for it is "partial 16S ribosomal RNA". It matches the Rfam family "Bacterial small subunit ribosomal RNA", at positions 355 to 774 of the family's 1533-position model. The record is from RNAcentral.